Molecule: ribosomal RNA, 744 nt
Filed under: Escherichia coli
Lineage: Bacteria; Pseudomonadati; Pseudomonadota; Gammaproteobacteria; Enterobacterales; Enterobacteriaceae
Description: partial 23S ribosomal RNA
Rfam family: Bacterial large subunit ribosomal RNA
Source: RNAcentral
CUCACUGGUCGAGUCGGCCUGCGCGGAAGAUGUAACGGGGCUAAACCAUGCACCGAAGCUGCGGCAGCGACGCUUAUGCGUUGUUGGGUAGGGGAGCGUUCUGUAAGCCUGUGAAGGUGUGCUGUGAGGCAUGCUGGAGGUAUCAGAAGUGCGAAUGCUGACAUAAGUAACGAUAAAGCGGGUGAAAAGCCCGCUCGCCGGAAGACCAAGGGUUCCUGUCCAACGUUAAUCGGGGCAGGGUGAGUCGACCCCUAAGGCGAGGCCGAAAGGCGUAGUCGAUGGGAAACAGGUUAAUAUUCCUGUACUUGGUGUUACUGCGAAGGGGGGACGGAGAAGGCUAUGUUGGCCGGGCGACGGUUGUCCCGGUUUAAGCGUGUAGGCUGGUUUUCCAGGCAAAUCCGGAAAAUCAAGGCUGAGGCGUGAUGACGAGGCACUACGGUGCUGAAGCAACAAAUGCCCUGCUUCCAGGAAAAGCCUCUAAGCAUCAGGUAACAUCAAAUCGUACCCCAAACCGACACAGGUGGUCAGGUAGAGAAUACCAAGGCGCUUGAGAGAACUCGGGUGAAGGAACUAGGCAAAAUGGUGCCGUAACUUCGGGAGAAGGCACGCUGAUAUGUAGGUGAAGUCCCUCGCGGAUGGAGCUGAAAUCAGUCGAAGAUACCAGCUGGCUGCAACUGUUUAUUAAAAACACAGCACUGUGCAAACACGAAAGUGGACGUAUACGGUGUGACGCCUGCCCGGUGC